CUCCAGGGCAACCGUGGCUUUCGAUUGUUACUGUGGGAACCAGGGGUAACAGUCUACAGCCAUGGUCGCCCCGCAGCA
MicroRNA precursor from Monodelphis domestica (gray short-tailed opossum), 78 nucleotides. It matches the Rfam family "mir-132 microRNA precursor family". The record is from Rfam. Lineage: Eukaryota; Metazoa; Chordata; Mammalia; Didelphimorphia; Didelphidae.